GAUGAACGCUGGCGGCGUGCCUAAUACAUGCAAGUCGAGCGAACGGACGAGAAGCUUGCUUCUCUGAUGUUAGCGGCGGACGGGUGAGUAACACGUGGAUAACCUACCUAUAAGACUGGGAUAACUUCGGGAAACCGGAGCUAAUACCGGAUAAUAUUUUGAACCGCAUGGUUCAAAAGUGAAAGACGGUCUUGCUGUCACUUAUAGAUGGAUCCGCGCUGCAUUAGCUAGUUGGUAAGGUAACGGCUUACCAAGGCAACGAUGCAUAGCCGACCUGAGAGGGUGAUCGGCCACACGGGAGCUGAGACACGGUCCAGACGCCUACGGGAGGCAGCAGUAGGGAAUCUGCCGCAAUGGGCGAAAGCCUGACGGAGCAACGCCGCGUGAGUGAUGAAGGUCUUCGGAUCGUAAAACUCUGUUAUUAGGGAAGAACAUAUUUGUAAGUAACUGAGCACAUCUUGACGGCACCUAAUCAGAAAGCCACGGCUAACUACGUG
RNAcentral lists this ribosomal RNA (497 nucleotides) under uncultured bacterium. Its description in RNAcentral is "partial 16S ribosomal RNA". It matches the Rfam family "Bacterial small subunit ribosomal RNA", at positions 28 to 507 of the family's 1533-position model. The record is from RNAcentral.